GGCCCGCCGCCGCCAUCUUGUCCACAGCAGCAGCAGAGGCCAUAGGGGCAGAGCGGGAAGCGCAGCGCGCCGCCGGCAGGCGCCCGCACUUCCGGCCGCCGCUCGAACGCCUCCGCAUGCGGGGCGGGCGCGCCUCAGGCAGAAAGCAAGACAAGGGCGCCCUAGCGCUUGGGAUUCCGGCUGGGUUUUGUUUUGUUUUUCCCCCUUUACUCCUUUCUUUCUUUUUCUUAUUUUACAGACAGGGGUUGUUUCCACGCUCUGGCCCCGCGCUGCCGGCGUGUGUAUGUGUGUUCAACUGGGAUCCGGAAGUGGUGGCUGAAGCUGGCGGCCCUGAAGUCUGCUCCCGUCCCUACGCUCUUGGGAGAGGGAGGAGGAGCGGCUCCGCUCUUAAAGGGGCCGACACGCGAUUUUCACUCUCUCUCUGCCUGGCUAUAGGCUUACAAAUGAGGUUGUGCUCACUCGAGGCACAAAUGACCAGGCUCAAACUUCCCUACUUCAGACACAUGAUGCGAAGACCCAGCUCCCUUGAGAAGUCUAUAAUGCUGGGGAAAGUUGAAGGAAAGAGAAGAAGAGGGCGACCAGCAGCAAGGUGGACGGACUCGAUUACGACAGCAAUGAAUGCACCUCUGCAAGACCUGAAAGGCCAAGUUAAAGUCAGAUCUUCCUGGAGAGAAUCUAUCUGAGUGGUUGCUAAGAGGUGACACCAACUUGACGACACUUAAUCAAUUAAUCAAUCAGAAAAAUGCAGAUGAGGACAAUGGGGCAGAAGAAGAGAUCCAGACGUCAAUUUUAAUGUAUUAAUAUUAGCCAGUGUUUGGCUGCUCAACUAUA
Long non-coding RNA from Hemicordylus capensis (graceful crag lizard), 831 nucleotides. RefSeq lists it as uncharacterized. The record is from RefSeq and is a predicted model, not a curated record. The transcript is spliced from 2 exons. Lineage: Eukaryota; Metazoa; Chordata; Lepidosauria; Squamata; Cordylidae.